Molecule: ribosomal RNA, 253 nt
Filed under: uncultured bacterium
Lineage: Bacteria
Description: partial 16S ribosomal RNA
Rfam family: Bacterial small subunit ribosomal RNA
Source: RNAcentral
UACGGAGGGAGCGAGCGUUGUUCGGAAUUACUGGGCGUAAAGAGUGCGCAGGCGGAAUAUCAAGUCAGGAGUGAAAUCCCGGGGCUCAACCUCGGAACUGCUUUUGAAACUGAUAAUCUAGAGUCUUGGAGAGGUUAGUGGAAUUCCUAGUGUAGAGGUGAAAUUCGUAGAUAUUAGGAGGAACACCAGUGGCGAAGGCGACUAACUGGACAAGUACUGACGCUCAUGCACGAAAGUGUGGGGAUCAAACAGG